ACGGCUUCACCCUCACAUUGGGAGAGAACAGGUGGGAGCAGUUCCAGAUCUGGCUGGAUGGCGACCCGACGCGCGUGUUGCACC
This 84-nucleotide ribosomal RNA is filed under the name Alexandrium margalefii. RNAcentral describes it as "partial Eukaryotic small subunit ribosomal RNA". The record is from RNAcentral. Lineage: Eukaryota; Dinophyceae; Gonyaulacales; Pyrocystaceae.